UCCCUGGUAGCUCAGACGGUAAAGCGUCUGUCUACAAUGCAGGAGACCCGGGUUCGAUCCCUGGGUUGGAAA
Molecule: transfer RNA, 72 nt
Filed under: Ovis aries (sheep)
Lineage: Eukaryota; Metazoa; Chordata; Mammalia; Artiodactyla; Bovidae
Rfam family: tRNA
About the family: Transfer RNA (tRNA) molecules are approximately 80 nucleotides in length. Their secondary structure includes four short double-helical elements and three loops (D, anti-codon, and T loops).
Source: Rfam by way of RNAcentral